GUGCUUACUUCAGCAGCACAUGUGCUAAAAUUGAAAUGAUAGAGGAAAGAUUAGCAUGGUCCAUUGUAAAGGGAUGACAUGCAAAUCCAUGAAGUGUUCCAUAUUAAA
This 108-nucleotide small nuclear RNA is filed under the name Neogale vison (American mink). The record is from RNAcentral. Lineage: Eukaryota; Metazoa; Chordata; Mammalia; Carnivora; Mustelidae.